This 469-nucleotide ribosomal RNA is filed under the name uncultured Planctomycetota bacterium. Its description in RNAcentral is "bacterial SSU rRNA". It matches the Rfam family "Bacterial small subunit ribosomal RNA", at positions 338 to 795 of the family's 1533-position model. Lineage: Bacteria; Pseudomonadati; Planctomycetota. The record is from RNAcentral.
CCUACGGGUGGCUGCAGUCGAGGAUCUUCGGCAAUGGGCGCAAGCCUGACCGAGCGACGCCGCGUGUGGGAUGAAGGCCCUUGGGUUGUAAACCACUGUCAGAGGGGAUGAAAUGCGGGUGGGUAAUUCAUAAUCCCAUCCGUUUGACAUAGCCUCAGAGGAAGCACGGGCUAAGUUCGUGCCAGCAGCCGCGGUAAUACGAACUGUGCAAACGUUAUUCGGAAUCACUGGGCUUAAAGGGUGCGUAGGCGGCUUGCUAAGUAGGGUGUGAAAGCCCCCGGCUCAACCGGGGAACUGCGCCCUAAACUGGCGAGCUGGAGUGAGAUAGGGGUGUGUGGAACUUCCAGUGGAGCGGUGAAAUGUGUUGAUAUUGGAAGGAACACCGGUGGCGAAAGCGACACACUGGGUCUCAACUGACGCUGAGGCACGAAAGCCAGGGGAGCAAACGGGAUUAGAUACCCUAGUAGUC